UUUUAUCUUUUGUGGGGUGCAUUGAGAAUGGGGAACGGACGAGGAUUGUGCGUGGUUUUACAUGUGAGUCGUCAUUGAAGUUGAAAGUUUGGAUUUUUUUUAAAAACCUUGCAGGCAAGUUUAGAUUUUUGUAUUAGAUUCUAAGGUAGCAAAUUGAGAUUAAGUGAGAAGAGUUUGAAGUAAUUUAUUGAUUUUAUUGGGG
Molecule: long non-coding RNA, 202 nt
Filed under: Salvia miltiorrhiza (redroot sage)
Lineage: Eukaryota; Viridiplantae; Streptophyta; Magnoliopsida; Lamiales; Lamiaceae
Description: long non-coding RNA (SMIL_LNC003886)
Source: RNAcentral